ACGCUGUAAAUUUACUCACUGUUAAUCCUGUAUCAGAGGAGUGCAUAUCUGUCAGAGAUCUUUGAAAAGCCGAGAAGUCCACGAGAAGUAGAUUAUUGAUUAAUUGGGUCAUCGCAAUUAACACAGUGUGUAGUGUCUAACACUAGAUAGUGAUAAAGUGCAAGUUUGGAUACGGAUUAGGAUUACUGAUCUCAUUCCCUUCCGGUUGAGUAUUUUAAAACAGAAGAAAGGUGAAAAAAGUAUAGAGUAAGAGCAAUGAAGCACGUUUUUUCAACAUCACUUAUAGUGUCGCUGUUCGUCAUCUUCACUGAUGCCCAAACAUUCCAGUAUUCUCGUGGGUGGACUAAUGGGAAGCGUUCGUCUCCAGAACAAACUGCUCCGAGUCGUACAUUGUUGCCUCACAUUCCGCUGGGAAUGGAUAAACCUGAUGAAGAGUGCAGAUUACUAAUACAGCGUUUUCUAAAAUCUCCAUGCGAUGUACGAUUAGCGAACGCUAUAGUCAACCGUAACAAGGACCUCCUGCGUGAUAUGGCUGACGAUGUGAAUGAUGGAACGGCCUUGCUAUAUGACCCUGUUCCAAUGGUGGAUACAGCAGCCAGUGAAGAUGUGAGAUUCAAACGUGGAACUCCAGACCGACGGUUGUUGAACGAUGGUAUGCACAGGCUUUAAAUUGCACGUUGUCCUGCUACAUUGGUAUACUGUGGUCGUUGAUACUAUGCUGGAAGUAGCAGCGACCAGAGCAUAAUCUAGUAGUUUAUAGUCAUUGUGAAAGGAAGUCUGAUCGAUUUCAUGUCAUUCUUUAAUCGAACGAUACAUGUACAGGUAUCUGUUCCGAUUCCAACGAACUUCAACUUCAACAGGGAUAUGCAUCAUCUAUUUAUGGGAAUGCGGAGUACUUGUGUACGGAAUCAUUGUACUAGUUAAAUUUAAACUGGGCAAAGUGUAUAUACAAACAUAAGAGGACCUAUAUUUAUUAUACAUUAAAACUAUUAAAAUGAACCUGAAACAAGCAA
Molecule: long non-coding RNA, 1013 nt
Organism: Aedes aegypti (yellow fever mosquito)
Lineage: Eukaryota; Metazoa; Arthropoda; Insecta; Diptera; Culicidae
Exons: 3
Source: RefSeq, a predicted model, not a curated record